Molecule: long non-coding RNA, 583 nt
Organism: Oncorhynchus gorbuscha (pink salmon)
Lineage: Eukaryota; Metazoa; Chordata; Actinopteri; Salmoniformes; Salmonidae
Exons: 3
Source: RefSeq, a predicted model, not a curated record
GGAGGAGGGCCAUAGACGAGGGUCAAGUGUGGAAGGGUUGAACCUGUCACCUUCUGAGCCAGUCACCAUCCCCAAGACCCUAAUGUGAUUCCUCAUAGCUUCAGCUCAUGAAUUCAGAGUGGUAUGUCCCUCAUGCGGCACUCAAUGUCAGCUAUGUGAAGAUGGUCCUAUCUAGCGAACCCUGUUUCUGGAACUCGUGGCUGAAUAGGUAUACCAUAGUAAAGGUUGUGAUGGCUGGAGUCCAAGAUCAUCAUGCCCGAGACCACACAGAUGAGGAGAGAUAACAGUUGUCUCUCUCUGUGAGCCUCUCUCACACAGCCUGCCAUGUUUCUAUACAAGUAGCAGGAGCAGGGAGGGAUGUGGUGGGGGGAAGCCACCUGCGGCCGUGACAUCACCGCUGUAGAGGCCAGGCCCAAAGGCUCCGUGGGCCCCCGCCUGUCUUAUCGCGUAUCAUGUAUCACCUGCAGUUCAACGUCAAGCCCAAAGAGACAGAUUUCAUCUGUCAUCUCUGAGAGGAUCUCAAUAUAAUUCAGUCCAACCGAUCUGACAACCAUGCCGGCCGGGGAGUGGAGAGAGGAGAGAA